UGCAGUCGAGCGAACGGACGAGAAGCUUGCUUCUCUGAUGUUAGCGGCGGACGGGUGAGUAACACGUGGAUAACCUACCUAUAAGACUGGGAUAACUUCGGGAAACCGGAGCUAAUACCGGAUAAUAUUUUGAACCGCAUGGUUCAAAAGUGAAAGACGGUCUUGCUGUCACUUAUAGAUGGAUCCGCGCUGCAUUAGCUAGUUGGUAAGGUAACGGCUUACCAAGGCAACGAUGCAUAGCCGACCUGAGAGGGUGAUCGGCCACACUGGAACUGAGACACGGUCCAGACUCCUACGGGAGGCAGCAGUAGGGAAUCUUCCGCAAUGGGCGAAAGCCUGACGGAGCAACGCCGCGUGAGUGAUGAAGGUCUUCGGAUCGUAAAACUCUGUUAUUAGGGAAGAACAUAUGUGUAAGUAACUGUGCACAUCUUGACGGUACCUAAUCAGAAAGCCACGGCUAACUACGUGCCAGCAGCCGCGGUAAUACGUAGGUGGCAAGCGUUAUCCGGAAUUAUUGGGCGUAAAGCGCGCGUAGGCGGUUUUUUAAGUCUGAUGUGAAAGCCCACGGCUCAACCGUGGAGGGUCAUUGGAAACUGGAAAACUUGAGUGCAGAAGAGGAAAGUGGAAUUCCAUGUGUAGCGGUGAAAUGCGCAGAGAUAUGGAGGAACACCAGUGGCGAAGGCGACUUUCUGGUCUGUAACUGACGCUGAUGUGCGAAAGCGUGGGGAUCAAACAGGAUUAGAUACCCUGGUAGUCCACGCCGUAAACGAUGAGUGCUAAGUGUUAGGGGGUUUCCGCCCCUUAGUGCUGCAGCUAACGCAUUAAGCACUCCGCCUGGGG
Molecule: ribosomal RNA, 840 nt
Filed under: Staphylococcus aureus
Lineage: Bacteria; Bacillati; Bacillota; Bacilli; Caryophanales; Staphylococcaceae
Description: bacterial SSU rRNA
Rfam family: Bacterial small subunit ribosomal RNA
Source: RNAcentral